Molecule: non-coding RNA, 1911 nt
Organism: Lactuca sativa (garden lettuce)
Lineage: Eukaryota; Viridiplantae; Streptophyta; Magnoliopsida; Asterales; Asteraceae
Source: RefSeq, a predicted model, not a curated record
UCCUCUUUGUCGACACAAAUAUUAAAAUUUUCUCCUUUAUACAUGGUUGCACCCAUGCUCUGCAGUCGCCGCCAUCAAGGCCGCCCUUCUUUUCACCCUUCUCGGAAACCUUAUUCCUUCCGCCCCCUUUUGCCUUCAACCUCACACAAAGGCGCUAAGUAUUGUUUCUAAUGAUCUAUUCCAGAUUUGUGGCCAUGAAAUAGGAAACAUGAAGAAUAAUCAAUCAAAUUUUACAGUUUAUUUUGGUGUGUAUUUUUUGUUCUUACAUUCAUUUUCAAUUUUUUAAUCUAUUUUUUUAUUAUAUUUAGGCAUGAUCCAAAUCACACAAUUAAGAAAUCGAUUAGGGAGACUUAGCAAAUUAGGAAGAUGACAAUCAAGGUUAUGAUGGUUGUAUCUGCUUACUGUAUGUGGUAUCCCCCAACAACCACCUCCAUCUAUCGGUUUUAGUUAUAAGAAGUAGUUUCAUUGUCUAAAUGAUAUUCGUUAGUUAUAAGAAGUAGUUUCAUUGAUAGAUCCAUUUUUGAAGGAUGAAGUAAUGGUCAGAAGUUUUUGUUGAAUCAAUUCUCUAAGCUUCUUGACAAAUAUGAUGUUUGAUAUUUCCGUUUUAGGGGAUUUUGAUUAUGUCGGAGUUCGGGCAUUUUUUAGGGUUUUUGUUGGUUGACCAGAUGUUGUGAGCAAAUUUGGGAAUCACACCAUCAUCUUCGUUUUCUCCUUCAGGGUAGAAGGGAUCGAUUAAGAAAUAUGGGGUCCACACCCACUAUCUCGACCGCAUACAAUACACCAUCGUAAGGAGUUUCAAGGAGAUAUCAGCAGCAUGUCACUUCAGACAAAAAAAGACAGAAACGUUAGGCCUAAUUUGGAAUUUACAUUCCAUUGAAACUAUAGAUCCACCAUAUAUGACAGGAAGGAUAUAGUUCAGUUUUGCAAACUUUUAAUUCUUUGUCUGAUGCUAUUUCUUUGGUAAGGCUUAUGAUUACUUUCAUUUGCAUAUGUACAUGCACAAUAACAUAUAGUAUAUAUUAGAAAACAUUCUCAUCCAUUAUCACAUAUAUAGUGAUAAUUUUAAUUUUAAUUUUAAUUUAGAUGGAUGGAUGACGAGAUUUGCACUAACAAGUGUGGCUGUCUUUAUCAACCUUGAAACAUUUUCAUGGUUGAAUAUCACGAUCCAUUAAGCUAGAACCACUAAGUUAUCGAUUCUAAAGAAAACCACUAGAUGGACGUGUUUUAUAAAAAAACAUAAUUUAGUGUUAUUUUCUAAUAAAGUAUGUUUGGUCUAUGAUUCAACGAGUUUCAAUGGAAGGGAUGAGUUGAUGAAGCUCCUAAACGAGUCUUGGAGGUGCAUUUAGUAGAAGAUAUCGAUAGAUUGAAGGCAUUAAUCUUUUAGUGUAUUAUUCCUUGGGAUGAUAACUUCAAUGUGAGUUUUAAAUAUGUACUGUAUAAGCUUGAAAUUAUCAAUUAUAAUCAUUUUUUUUUAUCUCAAUAUAUAUAAUAAAGGUAUUUCGGUCUUUAAAUGACUAAAUAUAUUGUGUUUACUAUUAUAUUAAGGUGGCAUAAUCAUGAGAUUUACCUAAUGUUCUGUAGAACAAAUCUUUCUAAUCAAAGAUAUUUUCUCAUUUAAUUUGUUUGUUUGACCUCUUGAUAAUUAGUUUCGGGCAUUGUUUGUGACUCUUUGUCAGCAACUAAGGAUUUUAUCAACUCGUAGCAAACUCAUGAUGGAAUUUUUGGUCAACAUAUGCUCAUCGAAAUGGAGAGUGAUCAUAUUGCUAAUUACUAAAGAGAAGGGGAUUGAAGCUUCAUUAAACUCUUCUCUUGCUCAUAUAUUGCACCUAUUAAGAGGAGAGGACUGAUAACAUUCCUAAACAUUGUUUUUCUUCAAUAAUCGUUGAAUCCAAUCAAAUGUGUUCAGUUCAA